RNAcentral lists this ribosomal RNA (68 nucleotides) under uncultured bacterium. RNAcentral's name for it is "partial 16S ribosomal RNA". The record is from RNAcentral.
CCGGGUUGAACUUACCCAACCCUAGAGGGGACGAACUACCCGUCCGAAGGUGGCUCAUGAUUGGGGUG